This 468-nucleotide ribosomal RNA is filed under the name uncultured bacterium. RNAcentral describes it as "partial 16S ribosomal RNA". It matches the Rfam family "Bacterial small subunit ribosomal RNA", at positions 28 to 507 of the family's 1533-position model. The record is from RNAcentral.
GACGAACGCUGGCGGCGUGCUUAACACAUGCAAGUCGAACGGAAAGGCCCUGCUUUUGUGGGGUGCUCGAGUGGCGAACGGGUGAGUAACACGUGAGUAACCUGCCCUUGACUUUGGGAUAACUUCAGGAAACUGGGGCUAAUACCGGAUAGGAGCUCCUGCUGCAUGGUGGGGGUUGGAAAGUUUCGGCGGUUGGGGAUGGACUCGCGGCUUAUCAGAUUGUUGGUGGGGUAGUGGCUUACCAAGGCUUUGACGGGUAGCCGGCCUGAGAGGGUGACCGGCCACAUUGGGACUGAGAUACGGCCCAGACUCCUACGGGAGGCAGCAGUGGGGAAUAGUGCACAAUGGGCGGAAGCCUGAUGCAGCAACGCCGCGUGCGGGAUGACGGCCUUCGGGUUGUAAACCGCUUUCGCCUGUGACGAAGCGUGAGUGACGGUAAUGGGUAAAGAAGCACCGGCUAACUACGUG